This 122-nucleotide transfer RNA is filed under the name Thielaviopsis punctulata. RNAcentral's name for it is "Ceratocystis radicicola tRNA". It matches the Rfam family "tRNA". From Rfam's summary of the family: Transfer RNA (tRNA) molecules are approximately 80 nucleotides in length. Their secondary structure includes four short double-helical elements and three loops (D, anti-codon, and T loops). Lineage: Eukaryota; Fungi; Ascomycota; Sordariomycetes; Microascales; Ceratocystidaceae. The record is from Rfam by way of RNAcentral.
GGGGCGGUGGCGCAGUUGGGAGCGCGUUAGACUGAAGCAAUCAUAAACUUCAGCCAAGCACCUGUGAGGUUUUCAAGCAGGCCGUAAUCUAAAGGUCACCGGUUCGAUCCCGGUUCACCCCA